This 89-nucleotide unclassified non-coding RNA is filed under the name Pseudomonas thivervalensis. The record is from RNAcentral. Lineage: Bacteria; Pseudomonadati; Pseudomonadota; Gammaproteobacteria; Pseudomonadales; Pseudomonadaceae.
UGUGGGAGCGAGCUUGCUCGCGAUAGCGAUCUGUCAGUCAACAUUGAUGUUGCUGAUCCACCGCUAUCGCGAGCAAGCUCGCUCCCACA